UCGUGCUAGAUGGGGAGUUAGCGGUGCCCUGUAACCUGCAACCCGCUAUAGCAGGAUUGAAAACUAAAAAGCGGCAUUAUCGAAGUCUAUUUGAAAUGAAAAGUGGUAUUGAAACUUCAAUUCAUCGCAAUGAUUCGAUUUUGAAACCCGUCAGGUCCGGGAGGAAGCAGCGGUAAAAGAUUUGAAUCAUGUACCGGUGAACCACUGAAGUGGAGCUAACUAUUAUUUUACUAUAGAUUUUCCGAUAUGUCAAUCUUUAGUGCACGA
This 267-nucleotide signal recognition particle RNA is filed under the name Planctomycetia bacterium. Its description in RNAcentral is "signal recognition particle sRNA large type". It matches the Rfam family "Bacterial large signal recognition particle RNA". Rfam says of the family: The signal recognition particle (SRP) is a universally conserved ribonucleoprotein involved in the co-translational targeting of proteins to membranes. Lineage: Bacteria; Pseudomonadati; Planctomycetota; Planctomycetia. The record is from RNAcentral.